Molecule: ribosomal RNA, 480 nt
Filed under: Lygodactylus bivittis (tiny scaled gecko)
Lineage: Eukaryota; Metazoa; Chordata; Lepidosauria; Squamata; Gekkonidae
Description: partial large subunit ribosomal RNA
Rfam family: Bacterial large subunit ribosomal RNA
Source: RNAcentral
CGGCCGCGGUACCCUAACCGUGCAAAGGUAGCGCAAUCACUUGCCCCUUAAAUGAGGGCUAGUAUGAACGGUAUAAUGAGGGCCUAACUGUCUCCUGAGGCCGAUCAAUGAAAUUGAUAACUCAGUACAAAUGCUGAAAUACACUCACAAGACGAGAAGACCCUGUGGAACUUUAAACACCCCCUGCUAACGCCAACAGCUAAUCUGGCCUCGCCCUAGCAGCCGUUUUAAGUUGGGGCAACUACGGAGUACAAAGACGCCUCCAUGACUAUGGCUCGCUGCUGUAUCUUAGGCCAACACGCCGCCCCAGAAAAUUGACCCAGUACAACUGACUUUCGAACCAAGCUACCCCAGGGAUAACAGCGCCAUCCCCUUUAAGAGUUCCUAUCGCCAAGGGGGUUUACGACCUCGAUGUUGGAUCAGGACACCCCGGCGGUGCAGCCGCUGCCAAAGGCUCGUUUGUUCAACGAAUAAUGUCCU